AGAGGAAAGUUGUUGGCAUUUGGG
This 24-nucleotide non-coding RNA is filed under the name Arabidopsis thaliana (thale cress). The record is from RNAcentral. Lineage: Eukaryota; Viridiplantae; Streptophyta; Magnoliopsida; Brassicales; Brassicaceae.